This 480-nucleotide RNase P RNA is filed under the name Deltaproteobacteria bacterium. RNAcentral's name for it is "RNase P RNA component class A". It matches the Rfam family "Bacterial RNase P class A". Rfam says of the family: Ribonuclease P (RNase P) is a ubiquitous endoribonuclease, found in archaea, bacteria and eukarya as well as chloroplasts and mitochondria. Its best characterised activity is the generation of mature 5'-ends of tRNAs by cleaving the 5'-leader elements of precursor-tRNAs. The record is from RNAcentral. Lineage: Bacteria; Pseudomonadati; Myxococcota; Myxococcia.
GGAGUUGGACAGACUGUCGCCGUGCCCCGCAGGGGCAGGGAGGAAAGUCCGGGCUCCACAGGGCAGGACGCUGGAUAACGUCCAGCAGGGGUGACCCUGGGAAAGUGCCACAGAAACAAACCGCCCUGCACUCAACACAACGACCAGGAUGCGUCAUAUCCUUUGAGAAGACAUUGUGGUAGUUGUGUUGGGUGCAGGGUAAGGGUGAAAAGGUGGGGUAAGAGCCCACCAGUUGCCGUGGUGACACGGCAAGCUCGGUAAACCCCGUCUGGAGCAAGACCAAAUAGGAAGACGUUACGGUCGGCCCGGCCAAGGUCUUCGGGUAGGUUGCUUGAGGCAUGGAGUAAUUCAUGCCCUAGAUGAAUGACAGUCACCCUGCACUCAACACAACGACCAGGAUACGUCAUAUCCUUGAGAAGGCAUUGUGGUAGUUGUGUUGAGUGCAGGGGACAGAACCCGGCUUAUCGUCUGACUCCAUUU